This 460-nucleotide ribosomal RNA is filed under the name uncultured bacterium. RNAcentral describes it as "partial 16S ribosomal RNA". It matches the Rfam family "Bacterial small subunit ribosomal RNA", at positions 338 to 795 of the family's 1533-position model. The record is from RNAcentral.
CCUACGGGAGGCAGCAGUGAGGAAUAUUGGUCAAUGGACGAGAGUCUGAACCAGCCAAGUAGCGUGAAGGAUGACUGCCCUAUGGGUUGUAAACUUCUUUUAUAAAGGAAUAAAACGAGGCACGUGUGCCUUUUUGCAUGUACUUUAUGAAUAAGGAUCGGCUAACUCCGUGCCAGCAGCCGCGGUAAUACGGAGGAUCCGAGCGUUAUCCGGAUUUAUUGGGUUUAAAGGGAGCGUAGGUGGGUUGUUAAGUCAGUUGUGAAAGGUUGCGGCUCAACCGUAAAAGUGCAAUUGAUACUGGCAGUCUUGAGUACAGGUGAGGUAGGCGGAAUUCGUGGUGUAGCGGUGAAAUGCUUAGAUAUCACGAAGAACCCCGAUUGCGAAGGCAGCUUACUAAACUGGGACUGACAUUGAUGCUCGAAAGUGUGGGUAUCAAACAGGAUUAGAUACCCGGGUAGUC